CGCAGGUUGUGCUCCCGGCUCUGCUCCACCUCCAGCCAGCGCCGCGCCUCCAGCUGCACCUGCGGGCGGGGGCGGCGUCAGAGCGGGUGACAGUGCGGGGGUUAGGAGCCCAGCCAGCGGGCGUCCAAAGCCAGUCCCAGGACCGGACACGGGCCCAGGAGACACCGGGCUGCUGGGCUGUGCAGCUGGAGAAGUUCACCAGAAUGAUUUAGUGCCAUUGAAUCUGGCUGCAUGCAUGAGGGGGCUCCAGGAUCUUUGUUAGCUGGAGUUGGGCCGUUGGAGGCACCCAAAGACCAACUGGACUGCAUCUGGGAUCUGCCAGGCCAAGGUCAGCAGCUGGGAAGUAAUGAGGUCUUCUGGGUGUGUGCUGCCUUGGGGACCUGCUGGGUGGCCAGCUAGCCCUCCCUGAACAGCCCAGCAGCAGCUGUACUGUGGCUCCUCUGAAUUGCAGCAGUCACUCAGAGGACCAGUGAAUUAGUCCUUCCUUCUGUCAACCCCAUCAUCCACUCCACCCCAGUCCUACUCAGGCACUUUUUCUGGAGCCCUGAACCAGGCUCUGCUACCACAGGUCUGGGUACCACAUCCCCUGGGGCAGCUAGGCCUUCCUAGGGGAUCAGGCUAGGGCUCAAAGCCCAGUCUGAUGGGGCUGAGGAGGGGAAGGAGACCUGCCUACCCAUCCCAUGCCUGACCAGGCUGCCACAGGACAGCCAUAUGGAGCUGGACAAAGUCACCACAGUGUUCCCCAAACAAACAAAAAGGUAUGUAUGUGAGAGUGUGCAUUGUGUGUGACCCUAACUAGAUCCUGGCUUAAGAAGAAAAUAAAAGUUAUAGCAAACAGUCUUUAAAAAGUUUUGGCAGUCUUUGGAUGUCCCAAGAAAUUUGAAUAAGGACAGGAUAUUUAGAUGAUGGUGGUAAUUUUUGUUAAAUUUUCUAGUUGUGUCAUGGUGCUUUAUGUAGGACAAUCUUUUUUUUUAGAAGAUGCAUGCUGAGGUGUUUUGGAGUGAAGAGUCUGAUGCUUGCAACUACUUCCAAAUGGUUCUGCUGUCAGAUAAAUAGCUAGCUAGCUAGAGGAAGCACAUAGGGCAAAAAGUCCUACCCAUGACCUACGUGCAAAAUGACUGCUUCUGGGUCACAGCCAUCUAAGCCAUGGUGCCAGUACCAACCUCAAGGCUGCGGAUCUCCCCAUGGCUGCGCGGCACAGUGAAAUCUGCUCCACCGUAUUCUGCAGCUCCUGGCUCUUGGUGCGCUUGCCUUGAAUGAUUUGAUCCCGCUUUUCCUCCUCCUCACGCUGCUGGGUCUCUUUGAGCAGGGCCAGCCGCUCUCGCAGCUCGACAACAGACAUCUCCCCUUCUAGGCCAUACCCAGGGAUCUGUGGGGUGGCAGGGAGGCCCCACACUGGGAGCUGUGCCAGGCCCAGGUGGGGAGCACAAGUGCCCCUCCCCUGCUCCACAGGCCUACCCCCUUGCCAGGAGGCUUCCUUCCUCUGCAUCAAUACUGCCUGUACGGAGUGCCCUCCUUCCAGCUUCUCCAGCCUGGACCCUGCUCUACAGUGCUAUAUGUGGAGUGUGCCCUGCAGGCCCCUCUGCUGUGGCAGGUCCCAGAUGGAGCUCACCACCAUCUUCCCAGCCAGGACCGCUGGGGCCUGGGGCCGAAUGCUCAUCUGAUUCCCCACACCCCUUGGGGUCAGGCCAGCCCCUGCAGCAGGCUCCCGAGGCCCUCCCAGUCCUGGCCCUCACUGUGCCUUUUCACAUAGGCUUCCAGGAGGCCUCCGCCUCCUGCUCCGUCCACCCCUGGGCCCUUGAACACCUGUGCUCUCCCUACUCAGCCCUUCCCACCUCGAGCCUGGGAAGUCCCUGGGCCUCCCCAACAUGCAGCUCCCAAGUGGCCUCCUGGAGCCUACCUUGCCACCCCCAGGGCCCAGGCCCCUCCCCCAGGGGUUGCAGAGGACCCGCUGAGUGUCUGCCCCACUGGUGGGACUGUGAACUCGUGGGGCCAGAUCUAGGCCUGCAACACGGGGAGUGCCGAGUCCAUGGCUGAUGAUGAGUGGCCAGGUGGAUUUUGGUGAGGCAAGACCUGCCUUUGGCCUCGGUGGGAAUUCUGGACAUGCCCUGCCAUGGAUCCUCACCUGGGUCAGGUCCACGAGCUUGCCUUUGCGUGUGGGCCGUGUCUCCAGUGCACGCAGCUGGGAGAUGAGUUCACAGCGCUGCCUCUGCUCCUCCCUGGCAGCCUCUGUGCUGCGCUGCAGCAGCUCCCGGCUCUCCUCCAUCACCUCCUGGGCUUGGGGGCCCAGUGCAUGCUGAGGGGGCCAGCGAGCAGCCCGGCAGGUGCUCGGCAGGGACACACCUCCCCGGGAGCUGCUCAGUCAGGCCUUUGACCUCAGCGCGGCCACCUGGGAGAACUUGCCCAACCCUGGCCCUCCCUCGAGGGGCACCCAGACAUCACUGACCACAGCAGCUCCCUUAGGGCAGGCCGCCAGCCCAGCACCUGAGCAGGAAGAGCAGAGCUGGGCAGGGCUUCGUGGUGCCUGGCUCCCCACCGUACCUAUCUGCCGUCGGCCCUUCACAAGCUUCGCCUGGGCCAACUUGACGUUCUUCUGCAACUCCAUUGCCUGCUCCACCUGCUCCUUCAAGGACCUGUCCUCCUGGAGGCGCCUCUUGGCACACUGCAACAUCAGCUUGGCUGUCUGCUGGGACAGUGGACCCCCCACGGUGAGAGCUUGGGCCUCCUGUCCCUCAGCCCCACCCCAGUCCAGGGAGCAGCAUGAGGUCUGAGGGCAGACCCAGGCCCCGGCCCUGAAACACCUGGAACCUGGGGCCAAGCCCAUUAGUCCCCUCGAGGUUGGGCUUGCUGGCGGAUUUGUAGCUCACAUCCUUCCUCCUUCUUCCCAAAGUGCCCCUUGGGGGGGCACAAAUCUCUGUCAUUUUAAGCCACCAGUUUGUGGCACUUUGUUAUGGCAGCCUAGGAAUCUCAUGCACGUGAUAAUGUAAGAUGUUCACAACAGAGGGCACUGGGUGGGGAGGAUAUGGGAACUCUGUACUAUCUUUGCAGCUUUUCUGUGAACUUUAAAACUGUCCUAAAAUAAAAAGUUUAUUU
This is a long non-coding RNA of Lemur catta (Ring-tailed lemur), 3093 nucleotides long. RefSeq lists it as uncharacterized. Lineage: Eukaryota; Metazoa; Chordata; Mammalia; Primates; Lemuridae. The transcript has 4 exons. The record is from RefSeq and is a predicted model, not a curated record.